AUACGUAGGUGACAAGCGUUAUCCGGAUUUACUGGGCGUAAAGGGCGUGUAGGCGGUCUUGCAAGUCAGAAGUGAAAUUCCUGAGCUCAACUCGGGCGCUGCUUCUGAAACUGCAGGACUUGAGUGCUGGAGGGGAUAGCGGAAUUCCUAGUGGAGCGGUAAAAUGCGCAGAUAUUAGGAAGAACACCGGUGGCGAAGGCGUCUAUCUGGACAGUAACUGACGCUGAGGCGCGAAAGCGUGGGGAGAAAACAGGAUUAGAUUCCCUGGUAUUCCACGCCGUAAACGAUGAAUACUAGGUGUAGGGGGUAUCGACUCCCUCUGUGCCGCAGUUAACACAAUAAGUAUUCCGCCUGGGGAGUACGGCCGCAAGGUUGAAACUCAAAGGAAUUGACUGGG
This 397-nucleotide ribosomal RNA is filed under the name uncultured bacterium. Its description in RNAcentral is "partial 16S ribosomal RNA". It matches the Rfam family "Bacterial small subunit ribosomal RNA", at positions 523 to 918 of the family's 1533-position model. The record is from RNAcentral.